RNAcentral lists this ribosomal RNA (377 nucleotides) under uncultured bacterium. RNAcentral describes it as "partial 16S ribosomal RNA". It matches the Rfam family "Bacterial small subunit ribosomal RNA", at positions 338 to 732 of the family's 1533-position model. The record is from RNAcentral.
CCUACGGGUGGCAGCAGUGGGGAAUAUUGCACAAUGGAGGGAACUCUGAUGCAGCGACGCCGCGUGAGUGAAGAAGUAAUUCGUUAUGUAAAGCUCUAUCAGCAGGGAAGAAAGUGACGGUACCUGAACAAGAAGCUCCGGCUAAAUACGUGCCAGCAGCCGCGGUUAUACGGAGGGAGCAAGCGUUAUCCGGAUUUACUGGGCGUAAAGGGCGAGUAGGUGGUAGAGCAAGUCCGGAGUGAAAACCCAAAGCUCAACUUUGGGACUGCUUUAGAAACUGAGCAACUGGAGUGUGUGAGAGGCUAGUGGAAUUCCUGGUGUAGCGGUGAAAUGCGUAGAUAUCAGGAGGAACACCAGUGGCGAAGGCGGCUUGCUGG